Molecule: long non-coding RNA, 1010 nt
Filed under: Brachypodium distachyon (stiff brome)
Lineage: Eukaryota; Viridiplantae; Streptophyta; Magnoliopsida; Poales; Poaceae
Description: long non-coding RNA (BDIS_LNC003668)
Source: RNAcentral
UUGAUUUUCUUUUGUUAUGUGCUCCUUUCUACAAAUAUGAAACAUGUGUUUAUAUGGAACACUAAGUUACUUAUACGAAUGUUUGAAAUGUCGUAGUGUAAAAUCUGAUGAAAUAGGAUAGUGUGAAUUAGAAGCACCUAUGACGCCAAAUGUGAAGUGAUACAACAUUCAUUUGGUGAGGGUAUGGCUCUACGCCUCUACCUAUCAGACAUCCAUUGUUGGAGUUCCUUCAAGAUUCACACACUUUUCCUUCCUAUCGCCUUACUUGCUUGUUUAUCUUCCCUCCGUAUUCGACUAAAAUUCGUCAACUUCAAUUUUUAUACUGUAACCUCUCAAUUCAAAACUGAAAAUUAUCAAAUCAAAAUUAGGAACUUGAACACAAAUUUAAAGAAUUGCCAGUCAAAAUUUCAUCUUGUGAGGAUGGUUGGGGUAGCCAACUAUUUUUGCAUAUAAAAUCGAACUUAACAUAAUUAAAUGUGCUGACUUCAUCCUUAUUGUAGCAUGUCUUUCUUUUAAGUAGCAGUUUUUCAAGUGUUUGUAUUGCCUCCUCUAAUUCUCUUACUAAAAGUGAUUUUUUUAGUAGGUACCUGUGGCGAGGGUAACGAAUGGUACAGGCCUAGCGCUUGUCUCUCCUGCUCUCCAGUCUUGCAGACUAUAUAUACUGAUGACAAUACACUGAUACACUUGCAUUGAGGGACGUACACGCUCGUCAAGAUUGUCAGAAAACCAGGGAAAGAAAAGAGUUGAGAUCCAGUGGCAACUUAUUUUUAGAUGAUCCAGUGGCAACUUACACGGUCCCUUUUCUGUUUUGUUUAGCUGCGUGAUUGAGCUUAUAGCAGAAAACUGCACUGUAUGAGUAUACUGAUGUACUCCAGUAAAGUCAUGCAGAUCAAUGUGCCAUAUGAGUAUACUGCUGCAGUAAAAAAUGUGCAUGGUCCUCUACAUUGCGUCUGAGUAUACCGGAACUCACAGAAUUUGUUAGAACGGUCAGUCUCAAAACUGAACAUGCC